UAUUGCACAAUGGGGGAAACCCUGAUGCAGCGACGCCGCGUGAAGGAAGAAGUAUUUCGGUAUGUAAACUUAUAUCAGCAGGGAAGAAAAUGACGGUACCUGAGUAAGAAGCCCCGGCUCACUACGUGCCAGCAGCCGCGGUAAUACGUAGGGGGCAAGCGUUAUCCGGAUUUACUGGGUGUAAAGGGAGCGUAGACGGCGAUGCAAGUCUGAAGUGAAAGGCGGGGGCCCAACCCCCGGACUGCUUUGGAAACUGUAGGGCUGGAGUGCAGGAGAGGUAAGUGGAAUUCCUAGUGUAGCGGUGAAAUGCGUAGAUAUUAGGAGGAACACCAGUGGCGAAGGCGGCUUACCGGACUGUAACUGACGUUGAGGCUCGAAAGCGUGGGGAGCAAACAGG
This 397-nucleotide ribosomal RNA is filed under the name uncultured bacterium. Its description in RNAcentral is "bacterial SSU rRNA". It matches the Rfam family "Bacterial small subunit ribosomal RNA", at positions 362 to 776 of the family's 1533-position model. The record is from RNAcentral.